RNAcentral lists this ribosomal RNA (351 nucleotides) under uncultured bacterium. RNAcentral's name for it is "bacterial SSU rRNA". It matches the Rfam family "Bacterial small subunit ribosomal RNA", at positions 8 to 349 of the family's 1533-position model. The record is from RNAcentral.
AGAGUUUGAUCAUGGCUCAGGAUGAACGCUAGCUACAGGCUUAACACAUGCAAGUCGAGGGGAAACGACAUCGAAAGCUUGCUUUUGAUGGGCGUCGACCGGCGCACGGGUGAGUAACGCGUAUCCAACCUGCCCAUCACUUGGGGAUAACCUUGCGAAAGUAAGACUAAUACCCAAUGACGUCUCUAGAAGACAUCUGAAAGAGAUUAAAGAUUUAUCGGUGAUGGAUGGGGAUGCGUCUGAUUAGCUUGUUGGCGGGGUAACGGCCACAAGGCGACGAUCAGUAGGGGUUCUGACGAGGAAGGUCCCCCANAUUGGAACUGAGACACGGUCCAAACUCCUACGGGAGCA